This 253-nucleotide ribosomal RNA is filed under the name uncultured bacterium. RNAcentral describes it as "partial 16S ribosomal RNA". It matches the Rfam family "Bacterial small subunit ribosomal RNA", at positions 524 to 776 of the family's 1533-position model. The record is from RNAcentral.
GACAGAGGGUGCAAACGUUGUUCGGAAUUACUGGGCGUAAAGCGUGUGUAGGCGGCUACGUAAGUCGGAUGUGAAAGCCCCGGGCUCAACCCGGGAAGUGCACUCGAUACUGCGUAGCUUGAGUCUCGGAGAGGUUGGUGGAAUUCUCGGUGUAGAGGUGAAAUUCGUAGAUAUCGAGAGGAACACCGGUGGCGAAGGCGGGUCUCUGGGCAUCUCCUGACGCUGAGGCGCGAAAGCGUGGGGAGCAAACGGG